RNAcentral lists this ribosomal RNA (426 nucleotides) under uncultured bacterium. RNAcentral describes it as "bacterial SSU rRNA". It matches the Rfam family "Bacterial small subunit ribosomal RNA", at positions 354 to 796 of the family's 1533-position model. The record is from RNAcentral.
GUAGGGAAUAUUGCACAAUGGGCGAAAGCUUGAUGCAGCAACGCCGCGUGCGGGAUGAAGGCCUUCGGGUUGUAAACCGCUUUUCUGAGGGAAGAGUAAGGACGGUACCUCAGGAAUAAGUCUCGGCUAACUACGUGCCAGCAGCCGCGGUAAUACGUAGGAGGCGAGCGUUAUCCGGAUUUACUGGGCGUAAAGCGCGUGCAGGCGGUAUGGUAAGUUGGAUGUGAAAUCUCUUGGCUCAACUAAGAGACGUCGUUCAAAACUACCAAACUAGAGAACGGCAGAGGAAGGUAGAAUUCCCGGUGUAGUGGUGAAAUGCGUAGAUAUCGGGAGGAAUACCAGUGGCGAAGGCGGCCUUCUGGGCCGUUUCUGACGCUCAGACGCGAAAGCAUGGGUAGCGAACGGGAUUAGAUACCCCAGUAGUCC